RNAcentral lists this long non-coding RNA (746 nucleotides) under Olea europaea (common olive). RNAcentral's name for it is "long non-coding RNA (OEUR_LNC012307)". The record is from RNAcentral. Lineage: Eukaryota; Viridiplantae; Streptophyta; Magnoliopsida; Lamiales; Oleaceae.
CAUAUCACAAUGCAAAUUUUGCAAGUGGAAAUUACACCCAUCCAUAUGUUUUAAGAUCCAACUUCAAAAAUCAGAACCAAUGUUUAUUUAUUCAAAAAUCAGAUUAUAAUUAAAAGUUUUAAUAUUAAUAAUAAUAUUAUAAAAUCAACUUAAUUUACAUACCACACCCUCCACCAUUAACCCAUCCGGCUCAAUUUUCAAUCUAAAAACCCUAAUCACUUUCUUCUUCCUCCUUUCUCUCUACCUCUUCCUUCUCUCUUUUAGUAUCACUUCGACGACUUAUUUCCAUCGGUGGUGCGCAACUCUUCAAUCGCCGUUCAACGGAGCUCGAAUUUGUCAUCGUUUUGCGCAGCAACGAGUUCAAAGCAUCGCUCACAGUGACGUACACUCUGGUUGCCGAUGCUUCAGAUCUCUAGGUGGCGCUGCAGAUCCAUUCUUGGUAAUUGACGGUUCGGUGGUGGGAAUGGAGAUCUCUGGCGUGUGCGACGGUGAUGAGCUUCUAUGGUGUUGUGGAGGUGGAGGUGGAGGUGGAGGUGGAGGUGGAGGUGUGCAGUGAGAUGGUGGGAACGGAGAGCUCUAGUGGUGCGACGGUGGUGUAGUGCUAUGGGUACAUUGUGGUGGUGCAGUGGUUGGGUGCGUGUGGUACUGUGUGCAGUGGUGGCUCUGGAGAUGUGCAGUGGUGUUGACUGAUUCCGAUAGUGGUGGUGUUUUGUGCGGUACCUUGCUGAGGUGGUGGGUGCAAGUAU